AUCACUGCUGACAGUCAGUAGUUGGUCUGGGGUAAGCAGGAAAUCUCAGAUCAUCUCUUGACUGUGGAUGGUGUAGGGGAAUU
Laticauda laticaudata (blue-ringed sea krait) is the source of this 83-nucleotide microRNA precursor. NCBI's taxonomy places the organism in Eukaryota, Metazoa, Chordata, Lepidosauria, Squamata, Elapidae. The record is from Ensembl.